Molecule: small RNA, 374 nt
Filed under: Arabidopsis thaliana (thale cress)
Lineage: Eukaryota; Viridiplantae; Streptophyta; Magnoliopsida; Brassicales; Brassicaceae
Description: ATSL196010
Source: RNAcentral
UAGAAACAUAGUCAACCAACUCCUUGCCGUUGAGCAACUCAAACUCAUCUUUUUCGUGCCGGCGAAAACCUCGGUUAUGAAAUUAUUUUCAACGUCACCUCAUCUUUUUACCGUGUCCAAUUUGUUUUCCAUUGAUUUGUUUAUGGAAGAUCAUUUGACUAGUCUUAACCUCACAUGUUUCAGAAUGCUCAAUAGUAUUUGUUUUAAAGCUCUCAUUGAUUUACCGUCGUUUCACCUUAUCUAUCAUGUUUUGAUAUGGGGGAAUGUCUCUUUUAUUUGCAUUUUAAACUUUAUAAUCUUUGUGUUAUUUUUUAUAUAUUUGGUUUGAUUUAAAUGAAUAAAAACAAGUCUUUAUCUAAACACAAAAGGACCCA